Molecule: ribosomal RNA, 3279 nt
Filed under: Neurospora crassa
Lineage: Eukaryota; Fungi; Ascomycota; Sordariomycetes; Sordariales; Sordariaceae
Description: large subunit ribosomal RNA
Rfam family: Bacterial large subunit ribosomal RNA
Source: RNAcentral
ACCUUGGUGACCUAGGCUAGUACCAGGUCCCCCUCUAAGGGACUUGUCCCCCUCUAAGGGACUUGCGUCGGUCCUAUCCUAGGCCGAAUAGGUGAAUAAAUACUUACGGACGGCCUUGGUCUGUCCUAGAGGUUAUCAACAUAUGAACUCUUAGAGAAAUUACUUAAUAAACGAAGUGAAUUGAAAUAUCUUAUUAACUUCAGGAAAAGAAAUCAAACGAGAUUCUAUGAUUAGUGUGAACGAAAAUAGAGCAGCCUAUUAAAAUAAGUAAAAUGGCUUUAAAGCUGUUUGAAUAUUGUGGGGAACCUUCCUCAAAGGCUAAAUAUAAUACAUGAGUUACAGAGAAAAGUACCGUGAGGGAAAGCUUUGAAAUAGUAGUUUUAUAAGCAGCUCAAGCAAUAAGAAAGCGAGAGCGUACCUUUUGCAUAAUGGGUCACCAAGUUAAUUUUAGAUGCGAGCGAAUUUAUUUAUGUUUUUACUGAUUAAACAAUAUAAUGAAUCAUAAUUAUUUUUGUAACGAGUAUUAGUAUUAAAUCUUAAUUUAAUAUUAGUAUAAGUUUUCAGUAUGGCGGCUACAUAGCAUAAUCUAUGCAGCCAGCCAAUAAUUGGAUUUCCAAUCCAAUUUCGGUAAUAAAUAGAUGUGCAUAGUUAAACCGAUCAUUAAAAUAAUGAAUAGUGUCUAAAGUUAGACCCGAAGCCUGGUGAUCUUACUAUAGUCAGGACUAUAAAGGUCCGAACGGGUUAUCGUUGCAAAGAUAUCCGAAGAACUAUGGUAAGCGAGUGAAAGACAACACUGACUAGGAUAGCUGGUUUUCUGCGAAACCUAUAAUAGUAGGCAAUUUAAGUAACAUCUUAGUAGGUACAGAACUUAAUCUCAGACAAGAUGUAGAUUUUCAUACCUAUGUUUAGGUAUGAAAUGCAUUUUUUUUUGUAUACAUCGGGGGAUCGUGAAGAUUUUAUCGGUGAGUAUGUAGACUCGGAAUGACAAAGAUGAAUCUUGAAUAAUCAGACAUAGAAUGAUAAGGUUGUAUGUCAAAAGGGAAACAGCCCAGAACAAGAGUUAAGGUUCCAAAAUUAUUAUUAAGUGAAAUAAAGAAAGUUUUUAUAUAAGUCGACAAGAAGAUGGGCUUGGAAGCAGCCAUAAUUUAAAGAUCUCGUAACAGAGCACUUGUUAAAUCUUAAAAGCAUCGAAAAUUUAACGGAUCUAAAUAAUAUACCGAAACCUUGUCCAUAUGUAACAUUAGUAAUAAUAUGCUAUUAAUGUUAUUUGAUGGGGUAGCAGAACGUUGAGUGAAUCUUAGAUUUUUUUUUUUUUUUUUUUAUAACUAAAUAUAGAUGAUAACUCAAGUGAGAAUGGUGACAUGAGUAACAAAAAAGAGUUUAAGGUACCUAAAAGGUAUCUUAGAGUCUCGCCUAAAGCUUAUGGCUACGUCAAGUAACGGCCUCUAAGUUUAUAAUCUGAAGAUUAUGACGAUGAGAAAAUAACGCGCAGAAGUGCGCUGCUUUGAUACUUAUGGUACCAACAUUUAAAAGUGAAAAUUGUGCAGGAAGGAUCAGUAUCCUUUCAUUCUUAUGUGGGGGAGUGGACAAAACUGAACAGAGUGUAUCUGAACACAGAUGAGUCCACACCCCCCCCCAUGUAAUGAAUGAAUGACAAACCGUACCUAGAAUCUGAAACAAGUAAGCUAGUAGAGAAUACGAAGGCGUGAAUGAGAUAACAAUCAUAAAGGAACUCGGCAAACUAACUACCGUAACUUAGGGAUAAGGAGAGCUCAUUAGUCUCGAUUAAUACGAGUAAAAAGGAAGAAGCAUGGAAUAUUGUUGUACGACUGUUUAAUUAAAACAAAGCACUUUGCAAAAAGACGAUAAGUCUAAGUAUUGAGUGUGAUUUCUGCCCGAUGCCGGCUGGUUAACGAAUUUUCUAAAUUGAAAAAAAAUUUGGUUUCAGAGGAACCCCCGGUUAAUGGCGGCCUUAGCGUGAGGGUCCUAAGGUAGCGAAAUGCCUUGGCCGUUAAAUGCGGUCUUGCAUGAAUGAUGUAACGAUACAACAGCUGUCUCUAUGAUUGACUCAGUGAAAUUGGAAUAACUGUGCAGAUACAGUUUACCUCUAGUUAGACGAGAAGACCCUAUGCAGCUUUACUGUUACUAAUUAUUGAAUACGAUUCUGAAAAUUUCCAGUGUAAAAGGUAAUCGAUAAGAUAUAAUUGAAACACCUUUAUUUUUCUAUCGUAUUAUUAAACCUUAAAUUAAGGAACAAUUGUUAGAAGACAGUUUAUGCGGGGCACAGGCCCCAUAAAGAGUAAAUGGGUGUGUCUAAAAUUUAUAAAUUUAUGUUUGCAAUUUUUUAUAGUGAUUAUAUAUCAAAUCAUCUUUAUGCUAUUCAUAGAGUGUAUUUAUUAUAUUCCUUGGGUACAGUAUAAAAAUUAUAUAUGUAUUAAUUUACAUAUAUUUUUUCUAAGAAAUUAGGUAAGAUUUUGUUUAUAGAGAAAUUAGAUGUAAAAAAAAAAUCUUAUGAGGGCGGUAUUUAAUAAUCCGCUUCUAAUAUUUUUUUGUAGUUAUUAUUAUAAAUUUAAUAAUAAUCAUGUUUAUUACUUAAAAAGCUUAAUGGCUUAAUCUUGCCUUACUGUUUGAUUAACAACAAAUCUUACAGUCGCGUAAGCGGGGCAUAGGAUCACAAGAUACAAAAAGGAAAGAUCUUGGAUUUUUGGAAAAGCUACGCUAGGGAUGAACAGGCUAAUUUGCGCAAGAGUGUACAAAAUGAGUGCGCGGUUUGGCACCUCGAUGUCGGCUUGACUAAUCCUCAUGGAUGCAGAAACUAUGUAGGGUACGACUGUUCGUCGAUUAAAAAGUUACAUGAGCUGGGUUAAAUACGUCGUGAGACAGUAUGGUUUCUAUCUUCUAGAGGGAAUUAGAAUAUAAUAAGGAUUAACCUUUGUACGAAAGGAACAUGGGGUACUAUUGUUAUACCUAGUUGUAUAACAGUUUUAUUAACCUCUGGUUUACCUGUUGUUUAUGUGCCUUAUAUUAAUUUCAUGUGUGAUGCUCCGCAAGGAUAUUACAGGGAUGUUACCGUCACUUGAGUAAAUACAAUAGCAUAAGCAUGGCAGGAAAGCUAAGUUAGUCAAAAAUAAGUGCUGAAAGCAUAUAGGCACGAAAUUUACCUUAAGAUAUUUCUUAAAUAUACGUAAGAAAAUAUUACGUUAAUAGGCUUAGUUUGUAAUAAUCUAGAGAUUUUAAGGAACUAAGUACUAAUUUUAUAAAAAACUGAAUGAUUAAUAU